Molecule: ribosomal RNA, 564 nt
Filed under: Cutaneotrichosporon moniliiforme
Lineage: Eukaryota; Fungi; Basidiomycota; Tremellomycetes; Trichosporonales; Trichosporonaceae
Description: eukaryotic LSU rRNA
Rfam family: Eukaryotic large subunit ribosomal RNA
Source: RNAcentral
UCAAAUUUGUAAUCUGGCUGUCUUCGAUAGUCCGAGUUGUAAUCUAUAGACGUGUUUUCCGUGCUGGACCGUAUCUAAGUCCCUUGGAACAGGGUAUCAAAGAGGGUGACAAUCCCGUGCUUGAUACGACCACCAGUGCUCUGUGAUACACGCUCUACGAGUCGAGUUGUUUGGGAAUGCAGCUCAAAAUGGGUGGUAAAUUCCAUCUAAAGCUAAAUAUUGGCGAGAGACCGAUAGCGAACAAGUACCGUGAGGGAAAGAUGAAAAGCACUUUGGAAAGAGAGUUAAACAGUACGUGAAAUUGUUGAAAGGGAAACGAUUGAAGUCAGUCGUGUUCUUUGGAUUCAGCUAGUUCUUCUAGUCUACUUCCUUUGAACGGGUCAACAUCAGUUUUGUCCGGUGGAUAAAGAUAGUAGGAAUGUAGCUCCCUCGGGAGUGUUAUAGACUAUUAUUGCAUGCACUGGGUGAGACUGAGGACUGCAGCUCGCCUUUUGGCCGGCCUUCGGGUACGUUCGAGCUUAGGAUGUUGACAUAAUGGCUUUAAACGACCCGUCCUUGAAACAC